RNAcentral lists this ribosomal RNA (511 nucleotides) under uncultured Glomus. Its description in RNAcentral is "SSU rRNA". It matches the Rfam family "Eukaryotic small subunit ribosomal RNA", at positions 569 to 1081 of the family's 1831-position model. The record is from RNAcentral. Lineage: Eukaryota; Fungi; Glomeromycota; Glomeromycetes; Glomerales; Glomeraceae.
AGCAGCCGCGGUAAUUCCAGCUCCAAUAGCGUAUAUUAAAGUUGUUGCAGUUAAAAAGCUCGUAGUUGAAUUUCGGGAUCAAUAUGUUGGUCGUGCCUUCGGUACGUACUGGCAUCAUUGAUUUCUCCCUUCUGACGAACCACGAUGUCAUUAAUUUGGUGUCAUGGGGAGUCAGGACUGUUACUUUGAAAAAAUUAGAGUGUUUAAAGCAGGCUCACGCUUGAAUACAUUAGCAUGGAAUAAUGAAAUAGGACGUUUGACCCUAUUUUGUUGGUUUCUAGGAUCAACGUAAUGAUUAAUAGGGAUAGUUGGGGGCAUUAGUAUUCAAUUGUCAGAGGUGAAAUUCUUGGAUUUAUUGAAGACUAACUACUGCGAAAGCAUUUGCCUAAGGAUGUUUUCAUUAAUCAAGAACGAAAGUUAGGGGAUCGAAGACGAUCAGAUACCGUCGUAGUCUUAACCAUAAACUAUGCCGACUAGGGAUCGGAUGAUGUUAAUUUUUAAUGACUCAUUC